AUGACAUCUCGGUGACAGGGGGAACUGUGGACGGGACCCCAGGAAGCCAACCCCUGCCCUGCUCAGGCGGGGAGCCACAGGAGUCCCGGAAUCCCUGGUCCUCAUUCCCAUACAGGAGUGAGGGGUGGCGGCAGCCCGGGCAUCUCAGAGGGAACCAGCGUUUGUAGGUGGUGACCCACCCCUUGUCUGGCCUUGUCAGGAGACUCCAAUCCCUGCCCAGGGGCCACCCCUGGCCCCAGAGCUGCCUGGGGAGCAGCUGGGUGAAGGGCCUGGCCCAGGAGGAGAGAAAGGACUUUCCCGGCAGAGGCUCGCCCCCCCCCCAGCCCAGGAUCCCGCUGGAGAACCUCUUCUGGAUGGGCUUGGAUUGGUCCUGGAGGCCCCAGGUGUGGGGUUCCCUGGUGCACCAGGAAGGCCAGGCGUGGCCCCGAGGGGAGCCAGGAAGGACCCAGGUCCCACAGCGGCUCUGCCACUGGUUGCUCUAGGCCCCAGCCUCCAAAUUCCUGGGACUGAAAACCCAAGCAGUCUGGCCAGGCCCGGGGACAGAGUGGCCCAGUGUCACACCUCCUGCCCUCCUCAGCUACGAAGCUGGAGGCCAGGUCCUGAGUGAAGAGCUCUGCCCACCUCAGCCCGGGGACUGAGGCCAGAUGAGGCCACCAUGUGUCCCCUGCAGCUUCCCACAGACAGGGUGUGAUGGCUCCCUUCCUUGUGCCAAGUGUCCUCGUGGCGCUUCCUGUGCCCCAUCCCUUUCCACCCUGGACCACUUCUGGGAGCCUGCCAGCCCGCCCACUCCAUCCGCAGAUGUCUGGGGACAGCGCGUGAGAAGAGAGGACAAGGGGCCUCCUUAGCUGAUGCACAGAUGUGCCCCUUGCAAGGCCCCGCCUCACCCUCGGGGUGACCUGCUCCCCAGCUGCGGCUUUGUUGCUCUGCUGGAGCCCCCUGGGGCCUGUGACUCCUUUUCCCCAUGGGGGGGGGAGCCUCAAGGCCCUGGCCUCAGAGCCCUUCCUU
This 1005-nucleotide long non-coding RNA is filed under the name Ursus maritimus (polar bear). RNAcentral describes it as "lncRNA (ENSUMAG00000012133.1)". Lineage: Eukaryota; Metazoa; Chordata; Mammalia; Carnivora; Ursidae. The record is from RNAcentral.